RNAcentral lists this ribosomal RNA (301 nucleotides) under uncultured bacterium. RNAcentral describes it as "partial 16S ribosomal RNA". It matches the Rfam family "Bacterial small subunit ribosomal RNA", at positions 509 to 807 of the family's 1533-position model. The record is from RNAcentral.
CAGCAGCCACGGUAAUACGGAGGGUGCAAGCGUUAAUCGGAAUUACUGGGCGUAAAGCGCACGCAGGCGGUCUGUCAAGUCAGAUGUGAAAUCCCCGGGCUUAACCUGGGAACUGCAUUUGAAACUGGCAGGCUAGAGUCUUGUAGAGGGGGGUAGAAUUCCAGGUGUAGCGGUGAAAUGCGUAGAGAUCUGGAGGAAUACCGGUGGCGAAGGCGGCCCCCUGGACAAAGACUGACGCUCAGGUGCGAAAGCGUGGGGAGCAAACAGGAUUAGAUACCCCGGUAGUCCCUGUCUCUUAUAC